GACAUGGUGCAGGGUGAAGAGCACAGAUAAGGACCCUGCCGCCGCUCCACCGCCCGCCCCCAGGACUUCAUGCGGCAGGACGCGGGCUGAUGCCCUCCGCACGCCCUGCCAUGGACGGGGGGCAGCACUUCCCGCAGCAGGAGCACCAACAGCCGGGCAACGCGCUCUGCAGCCUCCCCGGCCUCCGCUCCCCGCUCCCUGCCCCAGCCAUGGAGAAUUCCAUGCUGGCUGCCGACUCCUGGAGUAGCUGCUACCCUGUCUCCUUCCCAACCUCGUCCUUCCCCAGUGAAAACCAGCAAUAUUUUAAUUCCCCUCACGAUUUUUAUAUGAAUUCCAUCAGCAGACCACAUUUCUUGGAUACAAACUAUGCAUCUGUGGACCCCACUGACUUCUUACCAAAAAAUGGUGAUUUUCCUCAGGUGAGUACACAGCUACUGAUGGCUUUGGGGGAGAGCGGUGCUUUGUGGUGAUGGGGUUUAUUUUUCAGUGUUGCCUUAUUGCGGGGAGAGGAAGAGAUGGGGAAUAUCUUAAAUUUGCCCAGCACCUGACGGUUGUGUGUGAUGGGGAGGGAUUCUCUGAUGGCAGCAGUUCAGAAGCUGUCCCCUGGUGCGGCAGGAGCUUGUCGGUGGUAAAAUUGCUUCUGUCUUUUAAAGUGGUGUUUAAGGCAAAUGCUGGAAGUGCACGGGAGAGCCCUGCUGCUGGGGGGCGUAGGUAAGUGUGAAUUUGAAUGUUUCAGUCAGUCGCAUCGUUUGCCUCCUGCACCUCUUCACGCGGGUGUGUGGUGUGUGCUCUCUCACUGCUCACCAGUGGUGGGUUCCUGCACAGGGAAUAUUUAGAGAUUACAUCAAGCCAGUGCCCAGCAAGCGGAGGUUGGAGCCAGUCUGUUCUCUGCAGAGCUGGGGUGUGGGAGGAGUGAGCGGUCACCGUGGUGUGUCCAGCCUCUCUAGGGACCAGGAGGUGAAGACUGACCUUCCCGGAUAUCCCAUGUGAAUUCUGAGCCUGCCUGUUCACCAGAGUCCCAGGCUGCUGGGAACCACGCACGGGAGGCGUGAGGGUGAUGUGGGGCAGGACAGAGGUGCUUCGUGCUGGCGUUGUGUUUUGUCACACCGAGGGACACUUCAGCAGUUAGGCUGCUCUCUGCUUUUCAGUGUAUUUUAUUUUCAGUAACUGCUGGCUGUCAAGGCAGAUGUAUAAACAGAAACUUUUUUCUUUGUAAUCUGUCUCUUCUUCCUGCGUGAUUCAUUAAUUGAUGCAUCAGCAAAUUGAUGCAUUUCCCCUCGUCUUGAGGCGGAUGUGUUAAUUCUCCCCUAAUUGUGCUUUUAUUUUCUUGGUGUGGCUAAAGGGGUUUUGAACCUCCUUGGGGCUCUGAUUUCUGCAGCUCUGGCCUUACACACGGUGGGGAUUUGUGCCUUUUGAGGUGAGCCCUGGUGUGGCAGCCCCAGCUCAUCCCCUGGAGUGAAGCUGCUGAGA
Molecule: long non-coding RNA, 1470 nt
Filed under: Calidris pygmaea (Spoon-billed sandpiper)
Lineage: Eukaryota; Metazoa; Chordata; Aves; Charadriiformes; Scolopacidae
Description: lncRNA (ENSCPGG00000002378.1)
Source: RNAcentral